Molecule: small RNA, 125 nt
Filed under: unclassified sequences
Description: LOOT RNA
Rfam family: LOOT RNA
About the family: Latescibacteria, OD1/Parcubacteria, OP11, TM7. Lineage (Microgenomates, aka OP11)
Source: Rfam by way of RNAcentral
GACCUAAACUCUUAAUUAAUUAAGGGCAUGGUCGACAAACUGAACAAACAUAGAGAUGGCCAUUCCGUCUCUGGUAUUGUUUGUUCAGUCUGUAGUCGAAAGGCUACUGGACAUCGAAAGGUGUC